AAUAUUGCACAAUGGAGGGAACUCUGAUGCAGCAACGCCGCGUGAGUGAAGAAGGUUUUCUGAUCGUAAAACUCUGUCUUUGGGGAAGAAUAAAUGACGGCAACCGAUGAGUAAUCCCCGUCUAACUACGUUCCAGCAGCCCCGGUAAUACGUAGGGGGCCCGCGUUGUCCGGAAUUACUGGGCGUAAAGGGUACGUAGGCGGCUAUAUAAGUCAGGUGUUAAAAACCAGUGCUUAACACUGGAAUUGCAUUUGAACCUGUGUAGCUUGAGUGCAGGAGAGGAAAGUGGAAUUCCUAGUGUAGCGGUGAAAUGCGUAGAGAUUAGGAGGAACACCAGUGGCGAAGGCGACUUUCUGGACUGUAACUGACGCUGAGGUACGAAAGCGUGGGUAGCGAACA
This 399-nucleotide ribosomal RNA is filed under the name uncultured bacterium. RNAcentral describes it as "partial 16S ribosomal RNA". It matches the Rfam family "Bacterial small subunit ribosomal RNA", at positions 360 to 774 of the family's 1533-position model. The record is from RNAcentral.